GAUGAACGCUAGCGGCAGGCCUAACACAUGCAAGUCGAGGGGUAGAGGAAGCUUGCUUCCUUGAGACCGGCGCACGGGUGCGUAACGCGUAUGCAACCUACCUUUUACAGGGGAAUAGCCCCAGAGAAAUUUGGAUUAAUGCCCCAUGGUAUAAUCGGAUGGCAUCAUUUGAUUAUUAAAGUUCCAACGGUAAAGAUGGGCAUGCGUCCUAUUAGCUAGAUGGUAAGGUAACGGCUUACCAAGACAAUGAUGGGUAGGGGUCCGUGAGAGGGAGAUCCCCCACACUGGUACUGAGACACGGACCAGACUCCUACGGGAGGCAGCAGUGAGGAAUAUGGUCAAUGGGCGCAAGCCUGAACCAGCCAUGCCGCGUGCA
RNAcentral lists this ribosomal RNA (376 nucleotides) under uncultured bacterium. Its description in RNAcentral is "bacterial SSU rRNA". It matches the Rfam family "Bacterial small subunit ribosomal RNA", at positions 28 to 405 of the family's 1533-position model. The record is from RNAcentral.